Saccostrea cuccullata (small rock oyster) is the source of this 442-nucleotide long non-coding RNA. RefSeq lists it as uncharacterized. The transcript has 3 exons. Lineage: Eukaryota; Metazoa; Mollusca; Bivalvia; Ostreida; Ostreidae. The record is from RefSeq and is a predicted model, not a curated record.
CAAAGAAUUCCACAGAAAACGAAAUGCAGGAAAAGAAAGUUUAAGGUUUACGGUUGGAUAUACAUGUACACUACUUGAAUAAUAUAGGACGGAUCCAAUGUAUUUGAACUUCUUAAAAGAGAUCAUAUUUAGACUUUUUGCUCUUUCCCAAUCAGUCCAUAUCAUUCUGUUUGAUUGGAAUCAAAGAAUGAAUUAAAUACACAUCAGAUCCAUUAUUCAUUGUCUGGUGACCUUACCCUGUGUCCAUGAUUGUAAUUACCUACCAUUGGUAAUAAUUUGCUCAAUUAUUAUGCACACAAUGGCAGAGUCGCCCAACCAUGAAGCAUGGGCUUGGGGUGUACCAAGUGAUUUGGUAGCAGCAAAAUCCUUUGUUCGAGGUUAUCUUCCUAAAAUCUAGCAUCAUGAUAGAUACCUUCCAAUGCAAAAUUUCAAAGUUGUAGAC